Molecule: ribosomal RNA, 262 nt
Filed under: uncultured Staphylococcus sp.
Lineage: Bacteria; Bacillati; Bacillota; Bacilli; Caryophanales; Staphylococcaceae
Description: partial 16S ribosomal RNA
Rfam family: Bacterial small subunit ribosomal RNA
Source: RNAcentral
GUGCCAGCAGCCGCGGUAAUACGUAGGUGGCAAGCGUUAUCCGGAAUUAGUGGGCGUAAAGCGCGCGUAGGCGGUUUUUUAAGUCUGAUGUGAAAGCCCACGGCUCAACCGUGGAGGGUCAUUGGAAAAUGGAAAACUUGAGUGCAGAAGAGGAAAGUGGAUUCCAUGUGUAGCGGUGAAAUGCGCAGAGAUAUGGAGGACACCAGUGGCGAAGGCGACUUUCUGGUCUUAACUGACGUGAUGUGCGGAAGCGUGGGGAUCA